Molecule: long non-coding RNA, 328 nt
Filed under: Brassica napus (rape)
Lineage: Eukaryota; Viridiplantae; Streptophyta; Magnoliopsida; Brassicales; Brassicaceae
Description: long non-coding RNA (BNAP_LNC014857)
Source: RNAcentral
ACCAAACUAGACCGAAACCUGAACCAAGCUCGACAAAAGACUUCAUUUUUAUGCCUUUUUGUCAUCUUAUGGCUUUUCUUUUGUUUGAAAAUAAAACCAAAGCUAAACAAUUAAGAUAAAAACUAUGUUGAGAAGUGAUUCCUUGAGUAAAACCUGCAUAUGAAAGGAGUGAAGGCAGUGAGAAGAAGAAUCAAGAAACGUGAGGGAAAGAAGAAGAAGAAAAAUCAAGGUCAAAGUUAACAAGGAAGUUAGUUAUGUAACUAGUAGUUAAGGAGUGAGUAGUCAAGUCAAGAGUCAGUUGGUUAGUAAGCUAAUUAAGUUCAGAGUU